This is a long non-coding RNA of Cynoglossus semilaevis (tongue sole), 1671 nucleotides long. RefSeq lists it as uncharacterized. The record is from RefSeq and is a predicted model, not a curated record. The transcript is spliced from 4 exons. Lineage: Eukaryota; Metazoa; Chordata; Actinopteri; Pleuronectiformes; Cynoglossidae.
GAGGGGAGGGGACCCCCCAGCAGCUGCUGCCUGUCUUUAUCCUGCCGUCACCACUAUAUUUAGGUGCUGUCCCACUAGGAGCCACCGGGAGCGCUCGACUUUGAUCCCCCUUGCUGCAGGUGGGUGCGUUCUUCAAAGUCAUGUCAACGUGUCUACAAGUCAAUUAACUGACCAGACGUUUUUCUGUUUCAGAGUCACUACAGCACUACCUUGUGGCGGAUUUUACGAACUACUACGCACAUGACCACCGCCACGAUGACAGCGAUCUGCACGGCUCCAAUGAUGGCGGCGAUGAGGACGUAGUGCAGUUUCUGUCCACUGGGGACAACGUAGAGAACAUUGAAAUCCAGCAGCUGAUCACACUGAGAGCCACCGUAGCCUGCUUCACACCUGGAACACACCCACACAGGUCAAAGAUCCUGACCCGGUGUCUAGCUCCGACACAGAUGAGAGGACACAGGUGUUAGUGGACAAGUGUAGAUAAACAGUUACAGCUGGCUGCACCUAACGUUUUGGACGUUCAUGUCGAGUGAGUUACCGUGGUAACAGGGUCCCUCCGACACGAGGCUGAUUGCUCUCUGCUUCUUACACGACGACCUCCUCAGGAAACAUUCAUUCUGCUCCCUCGUCCUCUUACGCUCAGAUGACCUCAUUAUCUCUCUGCUGCCUCGAGAACAACACAGACUGGUGGCACAAGACUCAUCCAAGAAUGUGUGGAUUCAGUCUGGACAGGAGAAGAGAGACACAGCCUGCCCUGUGGAUUCCAUCCUAACCUAUCUACACUGGGAAGUGAGGCUCUUGGUCGGAAAUGGUAUGAAGGACCCGAACUAAAGGUCAACACUCCUGAGUGAACAAAUGCCACACCAAAUUAGACGUAACGUAGUCCAGGUGGAGCAGACCUUAAAAUGUCUGAAGUCCUCUGUGACAGUGGACCCUGCUCCACCCACUCUGUGUCUGUCUAACCUUGUGUGUUUUAGAAUAAUUCACACAAACACAACACAGUUUUCUGAUGGGACAUAAACAGCCUGCACAGUUAGUACUGAGGUGCACGAAAUAUAGUGGAUAAAAACGUUAAGCUGUGCCAUGAUUAUUUUUUUUAAAGCAUGAUAAAAACAUGUAAACAUUAGUGGAACAAAAACACAAGGUCACGGAGUAUUAAAGUGUUGACUUAAUCUGUAAACCUAAGAGUAGAAAAGAUUUUUAAGGUUUGUUUUAUUAGCGGCGUCUUUUGUAACGUUUGUAAACUCUCUUUUUUCCUUGGCAGCCAUGUUUUCAUUUUUACUUAAAGCCAGUCUUUGAUUUUUAAUUUGAAGAAGCAGGGGGCGCUCACAGAGUGGUCAGUGCAGAAUACAGUUGUCUGUAAAUACCCUAUACACACACACACACACACACACACAUGAACACACUGAACAGGGGAUGCGGGCCUCAUCUGACCUCGCCCUGGUUCUACACCCUAUCAUUAACCCUGAAAUAGAACACACACACAAAUGCACACGCCGCUGCACAUCCGUUUCUAUGGUGACCAUUCUGCUAUAAAUCUGCUCAUCAAAUCUGUUUCAUUUUGACGAUGCUGUCGUCAUGACAACAGAUGGACAAAGACAACACCUGGAGCCUGUGUGUGUGACCUGCACGAGUGACCCGCAUCAGCUGACGUGUCCAGGUGUCUCACCU